RNAcentral lists this long non-coding RNA (210 nucleotides) under Brassica napus (rape). RNAcentral's name for it is "long non-coding RNA (BNAP_LNC022040)". Lineage: Eukaryota; Viridiplantae; Streptophyta; Magnoliopsida; Brassicales; Brassicaceae. The record is from RNAcentral.
GGGUGGAAUUAAGUAUGGUUACUCAAAAUAUAUGAACUAUUUUCAACUCCAUUUAUAAAAGACAUUACUUCUACAGAUGUAAGAAUUUUUGUACCUGCAGUUUCCAAAGGGGGCGUUGGAGGUGGGUUCUCCAUUUUUUCUGUAUUUCAAUCCUGGAACAAAACGAUUGUCAAUUUAAUAGCUGGAUUAAGAUUUGUAUUUUGUUGGAUU